Molecule: ribosomal RNA, 372 nt
Filed under: uncultured organism
Description: bacterial SSU rRNA
Rfam family: Bacterial small subunit ribosomal RNA
Source: RNAcentral
CGUAGGGACCAAGCGUUGUUCGGAUUUACUGGGCGUAAAGGGCGCGUAGGCGGCGUGUUAAGUCAGCUGUGAAAUCUCCAAGCUUAACUUGGAACGGUCAGCUGAUACUGAUGUGCUAGAGUGCAGAAGGGGCAAUCGGAAUUCUUGGUGUAGCGGUGAAAUGCGUAGAUAUCAAGAGGAGCACCUGAGGUGAAGACGGGUUGCUGGGCUGACACUGACGCUGAGGCGCGAAAGCUAGGGUAGCAAACGGGAUUAGAUACCCCGGUAGUCCUAGCCCUAAACGAUGAAUACGUUGGUGUCUGGAGUUUUUAUCUCCGGGUAGCCGUCGCUAACGUUUUUAGAUUCCGCCUGGGGAGUACGCACGCAAGUGUG